GGGAGUUACUCUAGUGGCGGACGGGUGAGUAAUACGUGAGAAUCUGCCCUUAGGAGGAGAAUAACGGCUGGAACCGGCCGCUAACUCUGCAUAUGCCGAGAGGUGAAAUAGUUUUUACUGCCUAGGGAUGAGCUCGCGCCUGAUUAGCUUGUUGGUGAGGUAAUGGCUUACCAAGGCCACGAUCAGUAGCUGGUUUGAGAGAAUGAUCAGCCACACUGGGACUGAGACACGGCCCAGACUCCUCCGGGAGGCAGCAGUGAGGAAUUUUCCGCAAUGGGCGAAAGCCUGACGGAGCAAUACCGCGUGAGGGAAUAAGGAUCUUGGUCUGUAAACCUCUUUUCUCAAGAAAGAAGUUCUGACGGUACUUGAAGGAUAAGCAUCGGCUAACUCCGUGCCAGCAGCCGCGGUAAUACGGGGGAUGCAAGCGUUAUCCGGAAUCAUUGGGCGUAAAGCGCCUGUAGGUUGUUUAAUAAGUCUGUUGUUAAAGACUAGGGCUUAACCCUGGAAAAGCAAUGGAAACUACUAGACUUGAGUAUGGCAGGGGUAGGGGGAAUUUCUAGUGUAGCGGUGAAAUGCGUAGAUAUUAGAAAGAACACCGGUGGCGAAAGCGCCCUACUGGACCAUCACUGACACUGAGGGGCGAAAGCUAG
This 650-nucleotide ribosomal RNA is filed under the name uncultured bacterium. RNAcentral's name for it is "bacterial SSU rRNA". It matches the Rfam family "Bacterial small subunit ribosomal RNA", at positions 82 to 763 of the family's 1533-position model. The record is from RNAcentral.